Molecule: ribosomal RNA, 433 nt
Filed under: uncultured bacterium
Lineage: Bacteria
Description: partial 16S ribosomal RNA
Rfam family: Bacterial small subunit ribosomal RNA
Source: RNAcentral
AACGAACGCUGGCGGCAGGCCUAACACAUGCAAGUCGAGCGAGGACUUCGGUCCUAGCGGCGGACGGGUGAGUAACGCGUGGGAACGUGCCCUUUGCUUCGGAAUAGCCCUGGGAAACUGGGAGUAAUACCGGAUGAGCCCUUUGGGGGAAAGAUUUAUCGGGGAAGGAUCGGCCCGCGUUGGAUUAGGUAGUUGGUGGGGUAAUGGCCUACCAAGCCGCCGAUCCAUAGCUGGUUUGAGAGGAUGAUUAGCCACACUGGGACUGAGACACGGCCCAGACUCCUACGGGAGGCAGCAGUGGGGAAUCUUAGACAAUGGGGGAAGCCCUGAUCUAGCCAUGCCGCGUGAGCGAUGAAGGCCUUAGGGUUGUAAAGCUCUUUCAGCUGGGAAGAUAAUGACGGUACCAGCAGAAGAAGCCCCGGCUAACUCCGUA